UGUGGUGUUGGAGAAGACUCUUGAGAGACCCCUGGACAGCAAGGACAACCAACCAGUCAAUCCUGAAGGAAGUCAGUCCUGGAUAUCCAUUGGAUGGACUGAAACUCCAAUAGUUGGGCUGCCUGAUGCGAAGUACUGAUUCAUUGGGAAGGACUGUGAUGGUGGGAAAGAUUGAAGACAGCAGGAGAAGGGGACAAGAGAGGAUGAGAUGGUUGGAUGGCAUCACUGACUCAAUGGACAUGAUGAUGGCUGGAUGGCAUCAC
Molecule: long non-coding RNA, 263 nt
Organism: Cervus elaphus (red deer)
Lineage: Eukaryota; Metazoa; Chordata; Mammalia; Artiodactyla; Cervidae
Exons: 3
Source: RefSeq, a predicted model, not a curated record